This 322-nucleotide long non-coding RNA is filed under the name Populus tremula. Its description in RNAcentral is "long non-coding RNA (PTRE_LNC001930)". The record is from RNAcentral. Lineage: Eukaryota; Viridiplantae; Streptophyta; Magnoliopsida; Malpighiales; Salicaceae.
AUUGCAUUUCAAAAGCACUUCCUAGCACAGAAAACAGAUACUAUACUAGUCACCAUGCCUAAAUCAGGCACAACAUGGUUGAAAGCCUUGGCAUUUUCCAUUAUGAAUCGUGCAAAAUAUACACCCUCGUGUAGCCCUUUGAACUCUGUCAACCCUCACGAUCUUGUGCCUUUCUUUGAGUUUGGGCUUUACGCGAAUAACCAAAUUCCUGACCUGUCAACCUUUCCAUCCCCAAGAAUGUUUGCUACUCAUGUGCCAUAUCCAUCAUUACCGGAUUCCAUCAAGAACUCCGGCUGUCGAAUUGUUUAUCUUUCCAGGAAUC